UGUUGGUUCAAGCCUGUAGUCGUGCCUGGUAGGUAAAUCCGCCGGGCUUAGAUGAGGGGUGAUAACGAGGCUGCUUGCAGCCGAAGUGAGUGAUACCCUGCUUCCAGGAAAAGCCACUAAGCUUCAGCUAUACACGACCGUACCGCAAACCGACACUGGUGCGCGAGAUGAGUAUUCUAAGGCGCUUGAGAGAACUCAGGAGAAGGAACUCGGCAAAUUGACACCGUAACUUCGGAAGAAGGUGUGCCUUUAGUAGGUGAACCUGUACAAGGGGAGCCCAAUGAGGUUGCAAAAAAUCGGUGGCUGCGACUGUUUAUUAAAAACACAGCACUCUGCAAACACGAAAGUGGACGUAUAGGGUGUGACGCCCCGGUGCUGGAAGAUUAAAUGAUGGGGUGCAAGCUCUUGAUUGAAGUCCCAGUAAACGGCGGCCGUAACAAUAACGGUCCUAAGGUAGCGAAAUUCCUUGUCGGGUAAGUUCCGACCUGCACGAAUGGCGUAACGAUGGCCACACUGUCUCCUCCUGAGACUCAGCGAAGUUGAAAUGUUUGUGAUGAUGCAAUCUCCCCGCGGAAAGACGGAAAGACCCCAUGAACCUUUACUGUAGCUUUGUAUUGGACUUUGAACAGAUCUGUGUAGGAUAGGUGGGAGGCUUUGAAGCAGGGUCGCUAGAUCUUGUGGAGCCAACGUUGAAAUACCACCCUGGUGUGUUUGAGGUUCUAACCUAGGUCCAUUAUCUGGAUCGGGGACAGUGCAUGGUAGGCAGUUUGACUGGGGCGGUCUCCUCCCAAAGCGUAACGGAGGAGUUCGAAGGUACGCUAGUUACGGUCGGACAUCGUGACGAUAGUGCAAUGGCAUAAGCGUGCUUAACUGCGAGACUGACAAGUCGAGCAGAUGCGAAAGCAGGACAUAGUGAUCCGGUGGUUCUGUAUGGAAGGGCCAUCGCUCAACGGAUAAAAGGUACUCUGGGGAUAACAGGCUGAUACCGCCCAAGAGUUCAUAUCGACGGCGGUGUUUGGCACCUCGAUGUCGGCUCAUCUCAUCCUGGGGCUGUAGCCGGUCCCAAGGGUAUGGCUGUUCGCCAUUUAAAGAGGUACGUGAGCUGGGUUAAAACGUCGUGAGACAGUUUGGUCCCUAUCUUCCGUGGGCGCUGCAGAUUUGAGGAAGCCUGCUCCUAGUACGAGAGGACCGGAGUGGACAUACCUCUGGUGUAUCGGUUGUCACGCCAGUGGCAUUGACGAGUAGCUAAGUAUGGAAGAGAUAAACGCUGAAAGCAUCUAAGCGUGAAACUCGUUUCAAGAUGAGAUCUGCCGGGGCCUUGAGCCCCCUAAAGAGUCGUUCAAGACCAGGACGUUGAUAGGUCAGGUGUGGAAGCGCAGUAAUGCGUUAAGCUAACUGAUACUAAUUGCUCGUGCGGCUUGACCU
Molecule: ribosomal RNA, 1425 nt
Filed under: metagenome
Description: bacterial LSU rRNA
Rfam family: Bacterial large subunit ribosomal RNA
Source: RNAcentral